Molecule: transfer RNA, 68 nt
Filed under: Cabassous chacoensis (Chacoan naked-tailed armadillo)
Lineage: Eukaryota; Metazoa; Chordata; Mammalia; Cingulata; Chlamyphoridae
Description: tRNA-His
Source: RNAcentral
GUGAAUAUAGUUUACCAAAAACCCUAGGCUGUGAACCUAGUAACAGAGUCUAACCAUUCUUAUUCACC